RNAcentral lists this ribosomal RNA (768 nucleotides) under Staphylococcus chromogenes. RNAcentral describes it as "bacterial SSU rRNA". It matches the Rfam family "Bacterial small subunit ribosomal RNA", at positions 59 to 812 of the family's 1533-position model. The record is from RNAcentral. Lineage: Bacteria; Bacillati; Bacillota; Bacilli; Caryophanales; Staphylococcaceae.
AAGUCGAGCGAACUGACGAGGAGCUUGCUCCUUUGACGUUAGCGGCGGACGGGUGAGUAACACGUGGGUAACCUACCUAUAAGACUGGAAUAACUCCGGGAAACCGGGGCUAAUGCCGGAUAACAUAUCGAACCGCAUGGUUCGAUAGUGAAAGACGGUCUUGCUGUCACUUAUAGAUGGACCCGCGCCGUAUUAGCUAGUUGGUGAGGUAACGGCUCACCAAGGCAACGAUACGUAGCCGACCUGAGAGGGUGAUCGGCCACACUGGAACUGAGACACGGUCCAGACUCCUACGGGAGGCAGCAGUAGGGAAUCUUCCGCAAUGGGCGAAAGCCUGACGGAGCAACGCCGCGUGAGUGAUGAAGGUCUUCGGAUCGUAAAGCUCUGUUGUUAGGGAAGAACAAAUGUGUAAGUAACUGUGCACAUCUUGACGGUACCUAACCAGAAAGCCACGGCUAACUACGUGCCAGCAGCCGCGGUAAUACGUAGGUGGCAAGCGUUAUCCGGAAUUAUUGGGCGUAAAGCGCGCGUAGGCGGUUUUUUAAGUCUGAUGUGAAAGCCCACGGCUCAACCGUGGAGGGUCAUUGGAAACUGGAAAACUUGAGUGCAGAAGAGGAAAGUGGAAUUCCAUGUGUAGCGGUGAAAUGCGCAGAGAUAUGGAGGAACACCAGUGGCGAAGGCGGCUUUCUGGUCUGUAACUGACGCUGAUGUGCGAAAGCGUGGGGAUCAACAUGAUUAGAUACCCUGGUAGUCCACGCGUAACGAUGA